This 392-nucleotide ribosomal RNA is filed under the name uncultured bacterium. Its description in RNAcentral is "partial 16S ribosomal RNA". It matches the Rfam family "Bacterial small subunit ribosomal RNA", at positions 338 to 729 of the family's 1533-position model. The record is from RNAcentral.
CCUACGGGAGGCAGCAGUGAGGAAUAUUGGUCAAUGGGCGAGAGCCUGAACCAGCCAAGUCGCGUGAGGGAGUACUGCCCUAUGGGUUGUAAACCUCUUUUGUCGGGGAGCAAAAGCCGGACGUGUCCGGCUGUGAGAGUUCCCGUAGAAAAAGCAUCCGCAAACUCCGUUCCAGCAGCCGCGGUAAUAGGGGGGAUGCGAUGUUUUUCCGGAUUUAUUGGGUUUAAAGGGUGCGCAGGCGGAUUUUUAAGUCAGCGGGAAAAUCGUGGGGUUAAACCCCAUCUAGCCGUUGAAACUGGGGGUCUAGAGUGUGCUAGAGGUAUGCGGAAUGCGUGGUGUAGCGGUGAAAUGCAUAGAUAUCACGCAGAACCCCGAUUGCGAAGGCAGCAUAC